UGUGUGUGUGUGUGCAGAUGCAGGCGGAAGGGGAGAGAGCACACGCCGUUGUGGAGCUGAGGCUCGUCUGAGGCGGGCAGGGUUGGUAUAGAGGGGGGCUGGGCUGAUGACAGCAUCCUCCGCCAGCUCAGUGGCUCCACACCUGACUGCCUCCAUCAGAUGAUGCACACAGAUGAUGAUGAUGGAGCUCUCCGCGCUGCCGGGUUAUCCUGCUGCCACCAUUUCGCAUGUCCACUCGCCGACACAUGUUCUACAAACGCCGUGAUCGCCUGCUCUGAAUUGGGAUUUUAUUUAUUUAUUUAUUUUAUUGUAAUGAUUCAUCAUUCGGCGGAUUUAGCGUGAGGAGCUGAGGUCGAGGAUCGAGGUGGUCUUUGUUUUUCCUGGAGGAAAAAAAAAAGGCAGUGAGUGGACUGAUGCUGCGUCGCUGGUAAACACCAGAAAUGGGUGUCAUUGAACCAAAGCUACCAAUCGCGGUUCGUUCUUGGACCAGAUCCUCGUUUUUCUUAUGAUAAAAACAUCUGCACAAUCCAGGUCUUUAUCAUCUACAAGUUGCUACACUGAGCAGGCUUCAGUCAAGCAAACAAAUGGUCCAAUCAAUAGCCACUGGACAGAAUUUGCCAUAGGGAGGAUAUCAAUAACACGCUAAUACACUCGACACACACAUAAACAAACACACACACACACAGGCACACAUGGCUCUGGAGAACUCGGUCUUCCCCUCCCUCCCGGACUCCCUCUCGCUUCCCGUGGAGGAGAAGGGGGAAGGGGAUGAUGUGGAAGUGGCCACCGAGGCUACCGCCUCCACCGGAGUCUUCAACCUGUCGGACGAGCUGGGUCACGUCGUCACCACGGAGACGGCACCGUCCCCUCCAGUCAAGGUCAAAAGGUCGUUCCAGGCCAAGCUGGCGGAAAGGGAGGCCACAGCCAAUCAGACCAGGAAAAAGAUCCAGCCGGAGAAGGAGAGGGGGCGAUUCGGGUGGGCUCGGGCUCGGCGUAAGAGGCAGCGCUACGUGGAGAAGAACGGUCGCUGCAAUGUCCAGCACGGUAACAUGCGGGAGACGUACCGCUACCUGACGGACAUCUUCACCACGCUGGUGGACCUCAAUUGGCGCUGCUCGCUCUUCGUGUUCGUCAUGGCCUACGCCGUCACAUGGCUCUUCUUCGGGGCCAUCUGGUACCUCAUAGCCUACUGUAGGGGUGAUCUGGACCAUCUGGAGGAUGAGACGUGGACGCCGUGCGUCAACAACGUCAACGGCUUCAUCUCGGCCUUCCUCUUCUCCAUCGAGACGGAGACGACCAUUGGCUACGGUCACCGCGUCAUCACGGACCAGUGUCCGGUGGGCACCAUGCUGCUGCUGCUGCAAGCUAUACUGGGCUCAAUGGUCAACGCCUUCAUGGUCGGCUGUAUGUUUGUGAAGAUCUCACAGCCCAACAAACGGGCGGAGACGCUGGUGUUCUCCAAACACGCCGUCAUCUCUCUAAGAGACGACAAGCUCUGUCUGAUGUUCAGGGUGGGCGACCUUCGGAGCUCUCACAUCGUCGGGGCCAACAUGAGGGCAAAGCUCAUCAAGUCCAAACAGACUCAGGAGGGUGAGUUCAUCCCGCUGGACCAGACAGACAUCAGCGUGGGCUUCGAGACGGGCGACGAUCGUCUCUUCUUGGUCUCGCCGCUGGUGAUCUCCCACGAGAUCGACGCACAUUCGCCCUUCUGGGACAUGUCGCAGUCCCAGCUGGAGAAGGAGGACUUUGAGAUCGUGGUCAUCCUGGAGGGGAUGGUGGAGGCAACCGGGAUGACGUGCCAGGCGAGGAGCUCCUAUCUAGCGGAGGAGGUGAUGUGGGGUCACCGGUUUAGCCCGAUGAUGUCACUGGCGGAGGGCUUCUUCGACAUUGACUACGGAGCCUUUCACCACACGUUUGAGGUGGUCACACCCUCCUGCUCGGCACGAGAGCUCUCAUUGGCGGCGGCCAGACUCGACGCUCACCUCUACUGGUCCAUCUCCAGCAGGCUGGAUGAAGAACCCACUCUGACCAACCAGGCGGCCAAGCAACCGGACAGCGGCUCGGCCAACAGCAAAGGAGGGGAGCCGACCUUCAUCGUGGGAGAGAUGACGGACAUCCAGGAGCAAACGGGACUGGGCGAGCUGAACGGCAGCGUCGCCACCGACCAAUCGGAAUCCGAGGCCUAGGACAGAGAAUGUUUACAAAGACGUUCAGUAUAUCACCACCACACCACGUUAGUGUUAGCAGAUCUUUUCUUUCAAAGCAAACGAGUAGUUUCAUGAAGCUCAAUUCUACAUAUGCCAUAUCUUAUGUUACCACAUGAAGGAGUUUAUUUCUUUGUCUUAUUUCUAUGUUGAUCUUUGUUACAAGUGUACUGUAUGUGCGAUAUCUAAUUUUUUCAAUCUGUUGUGUCAGCUCCAAUCACCCUGGCCUAUAUCUACAUUUAAAUGACAAUACUAUGCUUUAGACGGGGGUCAACAAUAGUACAUCCUGCAGACCGAGGCAGGUAGAGGUCAUUAGUUUCGACAAGGUGACACGGUGUUUGUUUGUGCACAUCGUGGGAUUGUUCACAUUUAAAAAAUAAAUUAAAAAUAGGUACAGUGCAUAGACGCUUUAAUGUCACCUGUGCAUGAAUAUCACUAGAUGAUAUUGAGGUAUAGACCGAAAUUGUAGUAACCUCAAAAUUUCUUUAGAUGCGAAGAUUGUUUUGAAGAUUCGUUGUGCAUCAGGUGUUAACACUUUGGGAAAGUAACACCAGCCCACAGCCGCUGGUAUAUUUGUCUACUCUGCUAGAAAAAACUUCUGGUAACAAACCAAACGAGUCAUUUGGUGCUAGAAAAACAUUAGAGAAAUCUACAGUGGACAAAGCAGGUUCCCUGCCCUGGUUUAAACCAUUUCACUAACACUUCAUAAGGGUACAAAUCAUAUACUUAAGUGCAUGACGAUGAUUUAAAGCGGGAUGUCUCGUGAACUCACGGUUGCUCACCGUUAAAUGAUCAAACUUUAUUUCAGACCCACGUGUUUGCUCAGCAGAGCUCAACAUGUUCUCACAAAUAUCAUCAAAGUGUUCGCACAUACAUAACAAACGUAAAUACAUGUUUACGUCACUGGAAUCUAUUGUUGACUUCAGCAACAAGAAUUCAUGAUACAUCCAGCUUUAAACCAUUAGUCAUGCAUUAAGUAUAUGCUUUAUUUGAUUUCGAGCAUUAUGUUUGUGGCAUAACAUCAGGCUGAAAUCUGCUGUUUUGCUGCCCUCUCUGGUCAAAAUGAUCUCUGUUGCACCUUUAACCACACCCAGCAGUGAUGCCACCAGGUCCUGAAGUACACCUGUUAAAGUAAAGUCAAACCACCAGAGGUCAGCACAAAAGCAAAAGCUUUUCAGGGAGCGUAAACGUUUCUCUUUAAUAACACUAAUAUGACUUUGCUGACAUUCCUAGCUGCACUUUCACAUCAUGGUGAAAAAGGUAUCUAAAAACCUUUAACGUAGAGACGGUCCAACACUCGAGUGUGUCUGUGUUUUUCUUUUUUUUCGUUUCACGUACGACGUGUGUAGCACAAGGAUUAUCUCUAUUUUGUCUUUUGUCCCCAGCCAAGUAGAAAUUAAAAGCACAACAGUGUCCUGCUCAGUUCAGCCCAAACACCUGCUUCUGCUGCUGCUGAGAUUAAUUGAUCCAAAGAUGUCAUCUGACAAAUGUGUCAGGACACAGAAAAGUGAAAAAAGGCUGAAGGCCUAAACUAUAUCACAGAGCAUAGGCUACAACUAUAUUAGAAUAUAUUUGUCUGCUCUUUCUUACCACAAUUCUUUAAUUUAGCAAUAUUAAAUCAAUACUGGAACGCAGCCAGUUAAAUUUAAUCAAGCGCUGUACUUAAGCACAAUUUCAAGGCACCUACGCUUCACUUGAGCAUUUCCAUUUUAUGCUGCUGCAGUCUGUACAUUCAUUUAAAGCUAUAGUUACAUAUUAAACUCAAGGUUUUAUGCAGACUGCAGAUUUUAUGCACAUAACAGGAACAUUUUUAUAAAAUAUAAUUAACUGCUACUCAACAUUUACAGCUGCAGUAUUAAAACACCGCUCAGACAUUAUUGAUGAUAAAACACAGGCAAAGGAGCCACUUCUGCAGUGUUUGUACAUAUUGUGGUACUGCUACUUUUACUUAAGUCAAACAUAAAUACUUCUUGACCUGUAUAAAAAACACAUAAACAGAAGCAGUAUGGAGAAUCUACCUAAUAUUAUUUGUGUUCUCCAAAAUUAUUAGACGCACAAAUGAGGAGAACCUACUGUAUUAAUCAUUAGGUUACUCAUUAGACUGCUUUCUAGUACAACUGUAUUUAUUGACCUCAAAAAAAGAUUUGCACCUUGAGCUAAUGAAAUCUACAAUUUUGUCCAAUUGAACCUGGUAAGAUUUUUAUGUUAUGUAGUAAAAGAAGUGGAGGAUAGAAGAAGAAGAAAGACUUCAGAUGAUUGAAAUGAUCAGAUGAGUAAAAGGAGCAAUAACACAAUAAAGAAAUAAUGAUAU
Molecule: RNA transcript, 4515 nt
Organism: Larimichthys crocea (large yellow croaker)
Lineage: Eukaryota; Metazoa; Chordata; Actinopteri; Sciaenidae
Gene: kcnj9
Gene name: potassium inwardly rectifying channel subfamily J member 9
Exons: 9
Source: RefSeq, a predicted model, not a curated record